UUGAACGCUGGCGGCAGGCCUAACACAUGCAAGUCGCGCGGAUGAAGGGAGCUUGCUCCUGGAUUCAGCGGCGGACGGGUGAGUAAUGCCUAGGAAUCUGCCUGGUAGUGGGGGAUAACGUCCGGAAACGGGCGCUAAUACCGCAUACGUCCUGAGGGAGAAAGUGGGGGAUCUUCGGACCUCACGCUAUCAGAUGAGCCUAGGUCGGAUUAGCUAGUUGGUGGGGUAAAGGCCUACCAAGGCGACGAUCCGUAACUGGUCUGAGAGGAUGAUCUGUCACACUGGAACUGAGACACGGUCCAGACUCCUACGGGAGGCAGCAGUGGGGAAUAUUGGACAAUGGGCGAAAGCCUGAUCCAGCCAUGCCGCGUGUGUGAAGAAGGUCUUCGGAUUGUAAAGCACUUUAAGUUGGGAGGAAGGGCAGUAAGUUAAUACCUUGCUGUUUUGACGUUACCAACAGAAUAAGCACCGGCUAACUUCGUG
This 483-nucleotide ribosomal RNA is filed under the name uncultured bacterium. RNAcentral describes it as "partial 16S ribosomal RNA". It matches the Rfam family "Bacterial small subunit ribosomal RNA", at positions 30 to 507 of the family's 1533-position model. The record is from RNAcentral.